Pangasianodon hypophthalmus (striped catfish) is the source of this 1143-nucleotide long non-coding RNA. RefSeq lists it as uncharacterized. The transcript has 3 exons. NCBI's taxonomy places the organism in Eukaryota, Metazoa, Chordata, Actinopteri, Siluriformes, Pangasiidae. The record is from RefSeq and is a predicted model, not a curated record.
UUAUUUUGUAUUAAUAAAUGUGUUGAAAAGAGUAUUGUUCUGGCAUUUGCUACAUUUUAAUAAUUCAAUUUAAAAGUAUUUAGCUGUAAGCACUGCAGAAAUUGUGAUCAUAGAACCUGAUAAGUGAUGGGAGAGGAUUAUCUCUCUUGUUACUGUACCUCACUAACAUACAUAAAUGAUGGGAACAUUUAGUUCUGUGUCUCAUAGAUUAUGAAGUAAUUGAGAGACCAACGGUAAUAUGCUGGUCCAAGUUGUUCAUUUUGUGAACAGUGCAUUAGAUGUUAUAAACUAUUUUAGAAUUAUGAUUUAAAGAUAUCACUCCAUGCUGCACACCCAAUGCUGCACAUGAUGUUUGUUAGGUAGUUUGCAGUUUUUAAUCGUAAUUCUGGUGGCUUCCACAGUUUUUACUGCACUUGGAAGUAGGUAAGUGGAUUAGGUGUUAAGUAUCAAAUUUUUGAACUUUGCUUCCAAUUUAUCGCUCCUUGCUGUUAUUGGAUGGCCAAUUGUAUAUGCUAAUUUCAGGAGUGUGCUAAUUGGGGCAAAGUCCAGCUCAGCUCAACUCUGCUCUGCACUCCUAUAGCACCAUUUUCCCUGCAGGCUGAAGAUGUUUGCAAACAACCGUCCACCAGCACGAGACCAACACUUAUACACUUUGGUGGUCCGGGGGGAGGAAGAUGUAUGAGCUACUCAGUGGCAUCAAUGAUGCUAUGGAGACCCUCGACAAGAGUCAAGCAGCCCUUAACAAUGUUAAUGAAGCCCUCUUCCAGAGCAUCAGUCCUUUUAAGGAGGCCUCUGACGAUGGUCGUGGAUCCACUGGCCACAGUGCGAGUGAUGUUAUGGAGGCCCCUGACGAUGGUCAAGUGUCCCCCCGAUGAUGUUCAUGGAUCCCCUGGCCACAGUCUGAGUCAUUGUAUGGAGGCUAGGACUGCUGAGAAGGAUGGUAACAAAGGUCCAUGAAGAGGAAGCCAUGGUAAAGAGUGCACCUUCAGACUGAGAUUCAUAAACAUGCACAUACAUGUGAUCAUACACACAAAUCAUCCACAUGUACACCACACAACACACUCUAUAGACAGACAGAUAGACACACACACACACACACACACACAAACACACACAAUAUUGACUUUAAAUAAAAUCCCAGUA